ACGUUGUAUCAAUAGACCAAAAUCCAUAUCAAUGUAAAGUAUUCAUCUCUAUAUCAGUCCAUGCCUACAUAUGCCUAUGACUUCCAGAGUCCUGUGGGCAAUGACUAAGGAGACAAAGCACGCAGGAAGCAGUC
This 134-nucleotide small nucleolar RNA is filed under the name Microtus ochrogaster (prairie vole). RNAcentral's name for it is "Small nucleolar RNA SNORA73 family (ENSMOCG00000004151.1)". Lineage: Eukaryota; Metazoa; Chordata; Mammalia; Rodentia; Cricetidae. The record is from RNAcentral.